Drosophila virilis is the source of this 1986-nucleotide RNA transcript. It is a transcript of the gene named Inwardly rectifying potassium channel 2, with no coding region annotated. The record is from RefSeq and is a predicted model, not a curated record. Lineage: Eukaryota; Metazoa; Arthropoda; Insecta; Diptera; Drosophilidae.
CAGCCGGCGUCAGUCAGCCGUCAUUUAAUCCGUUGGUCUGACUUACGAAAUAGCUUCUGUGGGGUUGUCAUCGCAGUGUCGCUUUGGAUUUCCGUGGAUAGUUUCAGCUUCGGCUUCUGUGUGUGUUUUUUCUGUGUGCAGUUGACCGGCGAUCUAUCUGUUCAUUUCUGGUUCGGCGUGCGUUCACAAAACAAUUCACAAUUUUAGCGGCGUGCGUUUCGAAUACAUUGUACAUACCAAAUCAAAAGUGACUAAAUUACUAAAGAUGUGCUAAACUUUGUUUGCAUAACAAAAGGAAAAAAAGCGUAAUGCUCGUUUUAAAGGUGUCAAUUCAUUGAAACUUGUGCGCUCCUAAUAAGGUGCUAAAAGUCUUUAAUCUCAUAAGAGCCAAUAAUCGCUAAAAGAUGCGUUUUAAUUUUUCGAGCCAUUCGGCAGCGACGACAACCACAGCUGCAACGGCGGCGGACACAGCGACUGAGAGGUCUGAUGAAAAGGCAACAAAGCCUCUCAAGAGACCAAUGACAAUCGAAGAGGAUCCCGAUUCCCUGGACAGCGUGAUCAGCAAUCCGCAGUCGUACCCCAUAACGAUAGUUCCGAAUCGUCCAGCCAGCUUCUAUGGCCUCUCCACAAACGGCAAGUCUUUUCAGCGACAGCCCAGUUGCAGAUCUCGCAACUUUCGUCCAGGCAGCAUGCGACGUGUGCGUCGUCGCGCCGUAUUCAAGAAUGGGGAUUGCAAUGUGGUGCAAAAGCAUUUGCAGCGCAGGAGGGUGCGUUUCCUGCAGGAUAUGUACACAACAAUGGUGGACUGGCAAUGGCGCUGGACACUACUGGCCUUUGCAUUGAGCUUCAUAUUGUCCUGGCUGUUUUUUGCACUGAUAUGGUGGCUUAUUAUGUUUACACACGGCGAUCUAGAAGAGUUGCAUCUUCCGCAUAAUCAGGAGGACUCCGGUUGGGCGCCAUGCGUAUCAGCCAUUGACGGCUUCACAUCCUGUUUUUUGUUCUCCAUCGAGACGCAGCACACCAUUGGCUACGGCGUGCGCACCACCUCACCGGAGUGUCCCGAGGCAAUAUUUAUGAUGUGUUUUCAGUCCAUUUAUGGUGUGAUGUCAUCGGCGUUCAUGGCUGGCAUCGUUUUCGCCAAAAUGACACGUGCCAAGCAACGCGCCCAGACUCUACUCUUCUCCAAGCAUGCGGUGGUCUGCCAGCGCGAUGGUUGCCUCUCGUUAAUGUUCCGCGUAGGCGAUAUGCGGAAGUCCCACAUCAUUGGAGCUGGAGUGCGAGCCCAGCUUAUAAGGACGCGCAGUACAAAGGAGGGUGAAGUCAUGACACAACAUUUUACAGAGCUGCAGAUAGGCACCGACGAGUCGGGCUCCGAUCUCUUUUUCAUCUGGCCCAUGGUGAUUGAGCACCGAAUAGACGAGAACUCGCCGCUGUACAACAUGAAUGCCACCGAUAUGUUGCAGGACAAGUUCGAAAUUGUUGUGAUUCUGGAGGGCACUGUCGAGUCCACGGGCCAGUCCACGCAGGCCAGAUCGAGCUAUAUCAAUACGGAGAUUUUGUGGGGCCACCGAUUCGAUCCUGUGGUUCUGUACAACAAGGAUUUGCAAGCAUAUGAGAUCGACUAUGCUCGCUUCAAUGAGACCACUCAGGUGGACACGCCACUCUGCAGCGCCCGGGAGCUGAACGAAAUCUACAAGAUACAGGAGGGCUUCCGCACACCAGAGACGACAUUCACCAUGCGUCAGCUGUCCAACAAUCAUUCCGAUCAAGCCUCAUAAGCUUUUGUGUCGUCCAAAGUAUUGUCUUCCUAUUUGUUGCUAUAUAUAGAUAGUUCUUAGUAGUUGUAGUUGUUGGCCCCGCUUAUGCACCAGCCUACUUUGUUUUCUCUCCCAACUCGCCUAACGGCAGUACAGUUCUACUGCUCACCCAAUCCCUCGACGACUUCCACGCACUCUAACAGCUCCGGCUACAAUUCGUGGUGCGGCA